GACGAACGCUGGCGGCGUGCUUAACACAUGCAAGUCGAACGAUGAACCCGGAGCUUGCUCUGGGGGAUUAGUGGCGAACGGGUGAGUAACACGUGAGUAACCUGCCCUGGACUCUGGGAUAAGCGUUGGAAACGACGUCUAAUACCGGAUAGGACCUUGGAUCGCAUGAUCUGGGGUGGAAAGUUUUUUUGGUCUGGGAUGGACUCGCGGCCUAUCAGCUUGUUGGUGAGGUAAUGGCUCACCAAGGCGUCGACGGGUAGCCGGCCUGCGAGGGUGACCGGCCACACUGGGACUGAGACACGGCCCAGACUCCUACGGGAGGCAGCAGUGGGGAAUAUUGCACAAUGGGCGAAAGCCUGAUGCAGCAACGCCGCGUGCGGGAUGACGGCCUUCGGGUUGUAAACCGCUUUUAGUAGGGAAGAAGGGCUUCGGCUUGACGGUACCUGCAGAAAAAGGACCGGCUAACUACGUG
This 472-nucleotide ribosomal RNA is filed under the name uncultured bacterium. Its description in RNAcentral is "partial 16S ribosomal RNA". It matches the Rfam family "Bacterial small subunit ribosomal RNA", at positions 28 to 507 of the family's 1533-position model. The record is from RNAcentral.